GCCAUUGGGGGGCAGGCUACCAUGCAAGUCGAGCGGAUGAGUGAGCUUGCUCAUGGAUUCAGCGGCGGACGGGUGAGUAAUGCCUAGGAAUCUGCCUGGUAGUGGGGGACAACGUUUCGAAAGGAACGCUAAUACCGCAUACGUCCUACGGGAGAAAGCAGGGGACCUUCGGGCCUUGCGCUAUCAGAUGAGCCUAGGUCGGAUUAGCUAGUUGGUGAGGUAAUGGCUCACCAAGGCUACGAUCCGUAACUGGUCUGAGAGGAUGAUCAGUCACACUGGAACUGAGACACGGUCCAGACUCCUACGGGAGGCAGCAGUGGGGAAUAUUGGACAAUGGGCGAAAGCCUGAUCCAGCCAUGCCGCGUGUGUGAAGAAGGUCUUCGGAUUGUAAAGCACUUUAAGUUGGGAGGAAGGGUUGUAGAUUAAUACUCUGCAAUUUUGACGUUACCGACAGAAUAAGCACCGGCUAACUCUGUGCCAGCAGCCGCGGUAAUACAGAGGGUGCAAGCGUUAAUCGGAAUUACUGGGCGUAAAGCGCGCGUAGGUGGUUCGUUAAGUUGGAUGUGAAAUCCCCGGGCUCAACCUGGGAACUGCAUCCAAAACUGGCGAGCUAGAGUAUGGUAGAGGGUGGUGGAAUUUCCUGUGUAGCGGUGAAAUGCGUAGAUAUAGGAAGGAACACCAGUGGCGAAGGCGACCACCUGGACUGAUACUGACACUGAGGUGCGAAAGCGUGGGGAGCAAACAGGAUUAGAUACCCUGGUAGUCCACGCCGUAAACGAUGUCAACUAGCCGUUGGGAGCCUUGAGCUCUUAGUGGCGCAGCUAACGCAUUAAGUUGACCGCCUGGGAGUACGGCCGCAAGGUUAAAACUCAAAUGAAUUUGACGGGGGCCCGCACUAGCGGUGGAGCAUGUGUUUUAAUUCGAAGCAACGCGAAGAACUUUACCAGGUCUUGACAUCCAAUGAACUUUCCAGAGAUGGAUUGGUGCCCUCGGAACAUUGAAACAGGUGCUGCAUGGCUUGUCGUCAGCUCGUGUCGUGCGAUGUUGGGUUAACUCUCGUAACCGAGCGCUACUCCUUGUCCUUCACUUUACCACGCAUGCUAUGAUGGUGCACUCUAA
Molecule: ribosomal RNA, 1119 nt
Filed under: Pseudomonas sp.
Lineage: Bacteria; Pseudomonadati; Pseudomonadota; Gammaproteobacteria; Pseudomonadales; Pseudomonadaceae
Description: bacterial SSU rRNA
Rfam family: Bacterial small subunit ribosomal RNA
Source: RNAcentral